RNAcentral lists this ribosomal RNA (406 nucleotides) under uncultured bacterium. Its description in RNAcentral is "partial 16S ribosomal RNA". It matches the Rfam family "Bacterial small subunit ribosomal RNA", at positions 30 to 526 of the family's 1533-position model. The record is from RNAcentral.
AUUGAACGCUGGCGGCAGGCCUAACACAUGCAAGUCGAGCGAGCGGCGGACGGGUGAGUAACGUAUGGGGAUCUGCCCGGUAGAGGGGGAUAACUGCUGGAAACGGUGGCUAAUACCGCAUAUUAUCGGAGGAGCCCAUAUUGGAUUAGCUAGUGGGUGGGGUAAAGGCUCACCUAGGCGACGAUCCGUAGCUGGUCUGAGAGGAUGAUCCGCCACACUGGGACUGAGACACGGCCCAGACUCCUACGGGAGGCAGCAGUGGGGAAUAUUGGACAAUGGGCGCAAGCCUGAUGCAGCCAUGCCGCGUGUAUGAAGAAGGCCUUAGGGUUGUAAAGUACUUUUAGCAGGGAGGCGUUACCCGAAGAAGAAGCACCGGCUAACUACGUGCCAGCAGCCGCGGUAAUUC